GGUUAAGUUAACAAGGGCGCAUGGUGAAUGCCUUGGCACUAGGAGCCGAUGAAGGACGGGACUAACACCGAUAUGCUUCGGGGAGCUGUACGUAAGCUAUGAUCCGGAGAUUUCCGAAUGGGGCAACCCAGCAGUUUUAAUCAACUGUUACCACUAGAUGAAUUCAUAGUCUAGUUGGAGGUAAACGCUGUGAACUGAAACAUCUCAUUAGCAGCAGGAAUAUAAAGAAAUUUCGAUUCCCUAAGUAGCGGCGAGCGAACGGGGAACAGCCCAAACCAAAGUGCUUGCACUUUGGGGUUGUAGGACUGAACAUUUGAGUUACCAAAGAACUUGAUAGUCGAAGGAUUUGGGAAAAUCCGCCAUAGAUGGUGAUAGCCCAGUAGAUUAAAUCAAAUUCUCUCAGUUCAGGAUCCUGAGUACGGCGGAACACGUGAAAUUCCGUCGGAAUCCGGGAGGACCAUCUCCCAAGGCUAAAUACUACCUAGUGACCGAUAGUGAACCAGUACCGUGAGGGAAAGGUGAAAAGCACCCCGGGAGGGGAGUGAAAUAGUUCCUGAAACCAUGUGCCUACAAUAAGUCAGAGCGCGUUAAUGCGUGAUGGCGUGCCUUUUGUAGAAUGAACCGGCGAGUUAUGAUCCCGUGCAAGGUUAAGACUAAAAAGUCGGAGCCGUAGCGAAAGCGAGUCUGAAAUGGGCGUUUUGAGUACGAGGUUAUAGACCCGAAACCAGGUGACCUAUCCAUGUCCAGGUUGAAGGUGCGGUAAAACGCACUGGAGGACCGAACCCGUGUAAGUUGAAAAUUGCUGGGAUGAGGUGUGGAUAGCGGUGAAAUUCCAAACGAACUUGGAGAUAGCUGGUUCUCUCCGAAAUAGCUUUAGGGCUAGCCUCGGAAUUAGGAUCAUGGAGGUAGAGCACUAUUUGGACUAGGGGCCCGUCUUGGGUUACUGAAUUCAGAUAAACUCCGAAUGCCAUUGAUUCAUAUCCGGGAGUCAGACGAUGAGUGAUAAGAUCCACCGUCGAAAGGGGAACAGCCCAGACCAUCAGUUAAGGUCCCUAAAUGUAUGCUAAGUGGAAAAGGAUGUGGAGUUGCAUAGACAACUAGGAUGUUGGCUCAGAAGCAGCCACCAUUUAAAGAGUGCGUAAUAGCUCACUAGUCGAGUGAUCCUGCGCCGAAAAUGUACCGGGGCUAAGCAUACUACCGAAACCAUGGAUGCGACCAUUAGGUCGCGUGAUAGGAGAGCGUUCUAAGGGCGGUGAAGCAAGAUCGUGAGGACUUGUGGAGCGCUUAGAAGUGAGAAUGCCGGUAUGAGUAGCGAAAGAUAGGUGAGAAUCCUAUCCACCGAAUGACUAAGGUUUCCUGGGGAAGGCUCGUCCUCCCAGGGUUAGUCGGGACCUAAGUCGAGGCCGAGAGGCGUAGACGAUGGAUAACAGGUUGAGAUUCCUGUACUAGUUAAGUGCGUUUGAGCAAUGGAGGGACGCAGGAGGCUAAGAUGUGCAUUCUGUUGGAUUAGAAUGUCCAAGCAGUAAGUCUUGUGAAGAGUCAAAUGCUUUUCACUUUAAGGACAAGCUGUGAUGGGGAGCGAAAUUUAGUAGCGAAGCGUCUGAUGUCACACUGCCGAGAAAAGCUUCUAGUGAGUACUUAACUACCCGUACCGCAAACCGACACAGGUAGUCGAGGAGAGAAUCCUAAGGUGAGCGAGUGAACUCUCGUUAAGGAACUCGGCAAAAUGACCCCGUAACUUCGGGAGAAGGGGUGCUGAUCGCAAGAUCAGCCGCAGUGAAUAGGCCCAGGCGACUGUUUAUCAAAAACACAGGUCUCUGCAAAAUCGUAAGAUGACGUAUAGGGGCUGACGCCUGCCCGGUGCUGGAAGGUUAAAAGGAUGGGUUAGCUUCGGCGAAGCUCAGAAUUGAAGCCCCAGUAAACGGCGGCCGUAACUAUAACGGUCCUAAGGUAGCGAAAUUCCUUGUCGGGUAAGUUCCGACCCGCACGAAAGGCGUAACGAUCUGGGCACUGUCUCAACGAGAGACUCGGUGAAAUUAUAUUGUCCGUGAAGAUGCGGACUACCCGCGACAGGACGGAAAGACCCCAUGGAGCUUUACUGUAGCUUGAUAUUGAGUGUUUGUACAGCUUGUACAGGAUAGGUAGGAGCCAUAGAAACCGGAACGCUAGUUUCGGUGGAGGCGUUGGUGGGAUACUACCCUCGCUGUAUGACCACUCUAACCCGCACCACUAAUCGUGGUGGGAGACAGUGUCAGGUGGGCAGUUUGACUGGGGCGGUCGCCUCCUAAAAAGUAACGGAGGCGCCCAAAGGUUCCCUCAGAAUGGUUGGAAAUCAUUCGCAGAGUGUAAAGGCACAAGGGAGCUUGACUGCGAGACAGACAGGUCGAGCAGGGACGAAAGUCGGGCUUAGUGAUCCGGUGGUACCGCAUGGAAGGGCCAUCGCUCAACGGAUAAAAGCUACCCUGGGGAUAACAGGCUUAUCUCCCCCAAGAGUCCACAUCGACGGGGAGGUUUGGCACCUCGAUGUCGGCUCAUCGCAUCCUGGGGCUGUAGUCGGUCCCAAGGGUUGGGCUGUUCGCCCAUUAAAGCGGUACGCGAGCUGGGUUCAGAACGUCGUGAGACAGUUCGGUCCCUAUCCGUCGCGGGCGUAGGAAAUUUGGGAGGACCUGUCCUUAGUACGAGAGGACCGGGAUGGACAUACCUCUGGUGUACCAGUUGUGCCGCCAGGCGCAUCGCUGGGUAGCUACGUAUGGAUGUGAUAAACGCUGAAAGCAUCUAAGUGUGAAACACACCUCGAGAUGAGAUUUCCCAUUCCUUUAUGGAAGUAAGACCCCUGAAAGAUGAUCAGGUAGAUAGGUUAGAAGUGGCAGUGCGGUGACGCAUGAAGCGGACUAAUACUAAUCGGUCGAGGACUUAACCAA
This 2921-nucleotide ribosomal RNA is filed under the name Lactiplantibacillus plantarum. RNAcentral describes it as "23S ribosomal RNA". It matches the Rfam family "Bacterial large subunit ribosomal RNA". Lineage: Bacteria; Bacillati; Bacillota; Bacilli; Lactobacillales; Lactobacillaceae. The record is from RNAcentral.